UACGUAGGGUGCGAGCGUUAAUCGGAAUUACUGGGCGUAAAGUGUGCGCAGGCGGCCGCGCAAGUCGAGUGUGAAAGCCCCGGGCUUAACUUGGGAAUUGCGCUCGAAACUACGUGGCUGGAGUGUGGCAGAGGAAGGUGGAAUUCCAGGUGUAGCGGUGAAAUGCGUAGAGAUGUGGAGGAACACCGAUGGCGAAGGCAGCCUUCUGGGCCAACACUGACGCUCAUGCACGAAAGCGUGGGGAGCAAACAGG
Molecule: ribosomal RNA, 253 nt
Filed under: uncultured bacterium
Lineage: Bacteria
Description: partial 16S ribosomal RNA
Rfam family: Bacterial small subunit ribosomal RNA
Source: RNAcentral